RNAcentral lists this ribosomal RNA (857 nucleotides) under Vibrio parahaemolyticus. RNAcentral describes it as "bacterial LSU rRNA". It matches the Rfam family "Bacterial large subunit ribosomal RNA", at positions 1396 to 2236 of the family's 2925-position model. The record is from RNAcentral. Lineage: Bacteria; Pseudomonadati; Pseudomonadota; Gammaproteobacteria; Vibrionales; Vibrionaceae.
GCGAGGCCGAAAGGCGUAGUCGAUGGGAAACGGGUUAAUAUUCCCGUACUUCUUACAAUUGCGAUGGGGGGACGGAGAAGGCUAGGUGGGCCUGGCGACGGUUGUCCAGGUUCAAGUGCGUAGGCUUAAGAGUUAGGUAAAUCCGGCUCUUUCUAAGGCUGAGACACGACGUCGAGCACCUACGGGUGUGAAGUCAUUGAUGCCAUGCUUCCAGGAAAAGCCUCUAAGCUUCAGAUUGUAAGGAAUCGUACCCCAAACCGACACAGGUGGUCGGGUAGAGAAUACCAAGGCGCUUGAGAGAACUCGGGUGAAGGAACUAGGCAAAAUGGUACCGUAACUUCGGGAGAAGGUACGCUCUCGACGGUGAAGUCCCUCGCGGAUGGAGCUAUUGAGAGUCGCAGAUACCAGGUGGCUGCAACUGUUUAUUAAAAACACAGCACUGUGCAAAAUCGUAAGAUGACGUAUACGGUGUGACGCCUGCCCGGUGCCGGAAGGUUAAUUGAUGGGGUUAGACUUCGGUCGAAGCUCUUGAUCGAAGCCCCGGUAAACGGCGGCCGUAACUAUAACGGUCCUAAGGUAGCGAAAUUCCUUGUCGGGUAAGUUCCGACCUGCACGAAUGGCGUAAUGAUGGCCACGCUGUCUCCACCCGAGACUCAGUGAAAUUGAAAUCGCUGUGAAGAUGCAGUGUACCCGCGGCUAGACGGAAAGACCCCGUGAACCUUUACUACAGCUUGGCACUGAACAUUGACCCUACAUGUGUAGGAUAGGUGGGAGGCUUUGAAGCACGUACGCCAGUAUGUGUGGAGCCGUCCUUGAAAUACCACCCUUGUAGUGUUGAUGUUCUAACGUCGACCCCU